This 202-nucleotide long non-coding RNA is filed under the name Lathyrus oleraceus (garden pea). RNAcentral describes it as "Pisum sativum (pea) long non-coding RNA (PSAT_LNC017330)". The record is from RNAcentral. Lineage: Eukaryota; Viridiplantae; Streptophyta; Magnoliopsida; Fabales; Fabaceae.
GUUGAGUUUGAUUUGGAUUAAAGAAGGUUAAACCUCUCAUAUGUCAAGGCCAACCACAAGACAUUAACUCAUUGGCCAAAAUAAAAAGAAAUGAGAUGAAGAUGAAAUGAAGUGGAAAGAUAAUUAAGCAUCAAGCACAAUUGGUCAAAUGUGAGUCAAAUCAACAUCAACCAAUAUAAAACAGAAGAGAAAUGAAGAUUAG